AAGGAUUGAAGCUCUGAAGUACUGAAGCUAUACAGAAUUGAAGAUUCAAACUUUUCAAACUUCUAUAAAGCUCUCAUGACGUGCAAGUUCUUAUCAACUUUCAACUUCGAGAUCAUCAUCUUCUGAAAGAUUGAAGACUUGGAAGAUCAAACUUUCCUUGAAUUCCAGAAGACUGAAGCUCAAAUAGACUUGCAACUACAACAUCCUAAAGAUCGAAGAUCAAGAAAUUCUAAGUUUUUAACUUGUAUUUGAGAGAAAACAUCAAGGAGUAAAUACUAAAGAUUGUAUUCACAAUAUUCAUCAAUAUACAAAUUUCAAUUCCACAAAAUACAUUUCUUCAAAAUCUCGUGUGAACACCAUUCUUACUAAGAAAUGAACCAGAAACUAAGUUCUUGCAAAUAUCAAGAACAUGAAGCACACUAUUGAAAGUGAGUUCCUUGCAGAGGUUAUCUUAAGAAUCACUUUGCCUUGUCCCUCAACCUUUGAAGUAGAUGAGUUACCUGAAUCUUUUUUUUUUUUUUAAAGGAACUCUCACACACAAACUAAUGCAGAGAUUUUUUAAAAAAAGAAUAUUCAAGUUAAUAUGGUUAGUGUGAUAUUUGAAUGAAAAGAAAUAUUGAAAACACUCAGUUUAAUAUGUUUAUUGUGAUAUUUGAAUAAAGAAAGAAAAUCUAAACAAGUUUAUAUGCUGUUGUGAUUUUGAAUGAGAAAAAACAAAGAAAAACUAUAUAAAUAUAUAUAUAACAAACGAAUGCAGAACAAACAAAAAAAAAUCAGAAAAACCCAAGCGGAAGGAAGAAAAUAUUAAACACAAAUUAAUGGAUCAAAGAUUUUCUCACCAGUGAAUUAAAUAAAUUAUAUUUACACAAGAAUUCACAUAUCUUAGUAUAAAAUCUACCUAUUCAAAACUAAGUGAGCAUGAAUAAUAGAUAAAUAAAUAAGACACACAAAAAACUUUGAUAUGCCUAAGAAGAAAAGAAAAAUCAAAAUAAAACAAAAAAUUGAUUUUCAACCGCCCACAACAAAGAAAACUACAUAACAACUUAUUCAAAAAUUGAAAAAAUUUAAAUUUCCACCACUUUUACAGAUUAUAUACUAUCUAUAUAUUUAUAUUUUAAAGAAGAAAAAUGAAAACACAGACUAUAAAUUUGUUUUAAGAUUAUUAUAAGGGAUAGUUGCAAAUUUAACAAUUAAAUUCAAAAUAACUAAGUAUAUAGUAACAUUUUAAAAAAAUUGCAAAUAUAGCAAAAUUUGUAAAAUUCUAUCAAUGAUAGAGUCUAUCACUGAUAGACCGAUAGAUCAUAUGAGUCUAUCAGCGAUAGUUUUGCUAUAUUUGCAAAAAAAAUUUAAAUGUUGUUAUAUCCUUAAUUAUUAUUCCUCAAAUGGCCAUUCAUUACAAUUACCCUUGUUAUAAUUAUCAAUUGUUAUAAAGAUUAUUAUCACAACAAACAUAAAAUCAUACAUAAAUAUAGAUCUAAGCCUAACAAAUUUACGUUGUCUCUUUAAAAUAAAUUUACUCAACUAGUGCUCGAGUAUUUAGAGUAGUUACCUCUCAAGAUAAAACAUAUCAUCUUUCUUCUAAGUGUAGCGCUCCGUAUAGAAGAUCAACGAACGAAUC
RNAcentral lists this long non-coding RNA (1618 nucleotides) under Cucumis sativus (cucumber). RNAcentral describes it as "long non-coding RNA (CSAT_LNC002772)". Lineage: Eukaryota; Viridiplantae; Streptophyta; Magnoliopsida; Cucurbitales; Cucurbitaceae. The record is from RNAcentral.